This 460-nucleotide ribosomal RNA is filed under the name uncultured bacterium. Its description in RNAcentral is "partial 16S ribosomal RNA". It matches the Rfam family "Bacterial small subunit ribosomal RNA", at positions 338 to 795 of the family's 1533-position model. The record is from RNAcentral.
CCUACGGGUGGCAGCAGUGAGGAAUAUUGGUCAAUGGACGAGAGUCUGAACCAGCCAAGUAGCGUGAAGGAUGACUGCCCUAUGGGUUGUAAACUUCUUUUAUAAAGGAGUAAAACGCGGCACGUGUGCCUUUUUGCAUGUACUUUAUGAAUAAGGAUCGGCUAACUCCGUGCCAGCAGCCGCGGUAAUACGGAGGAUCCGAGCGUUAUCCGGAUUUAUUGGGUUUAAAGGGGGCGUAGAUGGGUUGUGAAGUCAGGUGUGAAAGUUUGAGGCUCAACCGUAAAACUGCAAUUGAUACUGGGAGUCUUGAGUACAGUAGAGGUAGGCGGAAUUCGUGGUGUAGCGGUGAAAUGCUUAGAUAUCACGCAGAACCCCGAUUGCGAAGGCAGCUUACUAAACUGUGACUGACAUUGAUGCUCGAAAGUGUGGGUAUCGAACAGGAUUAGAUACCCUUGUAGUC